Molecule: long non-coding RNA, 1884 nt
Organism: Arachis duranensis
Lineage: Eukaryota; Viridiplantae; Streptophyta; Magnoliopsida; Fabales; Fabaceae
Exons: 5
Source: RefSeq, a predicted model, not a curated record
AGGAAAUUUUUGAAAAGCUGAUGAGCAAUGCUGUUAAUGCCUAGGCACGGCACUUAAAUGGAGCUGUUAUCAACACAAACUAAUCUAAUAAGCUCUCUUCUUGCAACUGAGUGCCCCUUGACUUACAUGCGGAUCCAUACACUCUCGUUGGGUCAUCAUCAGGCACGACUUCUUCGACCAAUGGGAGACCGCUACCUAUUGCUACUAUUACCCCCUCUCGCCAGGAGCCUCGGAUACACAUGAUGCCUACUUCGAGUGUGCCAAGAUCAUGUACUCAACAAGCCAAUAAACCUUCCAAUACUGUCUCACAUGGUGUGCAGAGUGAUCCAACUAUUGUAGCUCCCAAACGAGCAGGAUCUUGUGGGAAAAGACAAACUACAUCUAAUGGUACCCAAGAUACUCAAGGUCAAGGAACAUCCACUGCCAUUGGUCACUCCAGCACAAGUGCUUCCAAGCUUAGAUAUGAUGGUGCCAAAUAGUUUGUUAUUUGCUUUAAAUUUUAUGAAUAGCAUGUCUCAUUUUUACUAAGUAAUAUGUCUUUAUCAUUUUUUGGUUUUUGAUGUAGUUGGCACCCACCUAAGUCUGACUUAAAGCGUAUUUCUUAGGUUUUUAAGAAAAACUACAACAAGCCUUGGCUGAAUUUUGAUGAGGCAGAUGAUGAUACUCAAAAAUUUUGGUGGACAGAGUAGAGAGUAAAUUUUAUCUACCUUAUUUUACGUAUUUUACAAUGUUAUAUAUCAUAGUAUGUUAUAUAAUAAUAAGAUGUUAUUUCUUUUUUAAAAUAAAAAUGCUUUGAUAUUAUUGACACGAAAGAAGAAGAUAUCUAUCAAGUUUGGAGGUUUAGGGCUACCAAGCGCUUGUGAGGUAUGCUCCAUGCCAUUCGUAAAAAAGGUGCCCGUCCAUAUUGGAUCCCACUAGAAGUUCUUGGUGAAUUGAUGAGACAUUGGGACACUGAUGCCUAUAGACAAUUACAGGUGAGAAAUACAGCUGCCAGAAAAUCAACUCGAGGUACCUUCCUUCACACCGCAGGAGGCACCACCUUUUCAAAAGCGAGGUUCUGCUUGAAUCAUUUGCUUAAAAGACCAUCACGUAUGGAUGAAUUUUUUUAGCACACUCAGAUCGCAAAGAGGAUAGGACUCAAUGAGUUGACGAACACUCCCGAAAGACAAAGGAUAUAUUUCAAGAGAGUAUGUUUCAGGCUGAGUAAGAGCGGCAGGCUGCUAUAGAGGCUAGUGUAACUGAUGUACCGCCUGUCUCUGAGGAAAGUAUAUGGAUUGAGACAGUGGAUGGAAAACGAAGAGGUAGGGUAUAUGGCAUGGGUGAGGUAAGGAACUCUUCCAUGGUGCGACCUCGAGUUGAUGGGCCAACCGUGACCACCAGCAAUGAUGUUUUGGAUCUUAGAGAACGAAUCGUAAUACCCAAUAGGAAAGUUGAACAACAUGCCACUAAUUAUAGAGAGCUUGAAGACUGCUACCAAAGGGAGAAAAGCGAGUGGCAACAGACUGUUGAAUCCUUGCGUGAGGAUCUCAACACUAGUAACUCACAAAUGGAUCAGUUUAGUCAUCAAUUGAACAGCUUGACUGAGUAUGUGAGGGUCAUGAAUCCUAGUAGUUCUGGAUCACGUGUUCCCCCACCUCCUCCUUUUACUUUUCCAAGUUCUCAGAAAAGCACAACCCCAGGUAGAAAAUUCUCACAUAUUCUGCAGCGAUCAGGACAAUCACAGAGUUCUCAAAGGGAGGAUGAUUCUAAUGAUCUUGAUGACUCGGAUAAUUAUUUAGAUGAGUACGAGUAGGUUAUUUACUUUACAUUGAAUAUAUUGUAUUAUUAGUGGAUUACAAUUUAAACGAAUAUAAGUCUAAAUUUAGUUAUUUAUCUUAUCUUAUG